This is a long non-coding RNA of Loxodonta africana (African savanna elephant), 5169 nucleotides long. RefSeq lists it as uncharacterized. The transcript is spliced from 2 exons. The record is from RefSeq and is a predicted model, not a curated record. NCBI's taxonomy places the organism in Eukaryota, Metazoa, Chordata, Mammalia, Proboscidea, Elephantidae.
UUUUUCAGAGCUGCAAGCAAAGAAUGGAAAUUUCCAAUUGCAGCAUCAAGAGCUGCUGUUCUGCUGACUGUCUUGCUCAGCCAGGGUCAUCUGCUUCUCUAAGACAAGAAAGACAUCAAGGAACGCCAAGAAAUCCCCACAGUGAGUGAAGAUGCAGAGAAGGGGAACCAACAUUUGUUAAGUAGAUAUGUUACAUCAUUCAACCUUUGCGUGACCUGCCCGGUAUUAACUCGUGAUUUCCUGCACCGAAAUUUUGGAAGUUUCACCUGUUCUUACUGAGACAGUCCUGCCUCCCCUCCCUCAAACUCAUCAUCUGCAAGCAUCCUGAAGAGUAGUCUCCACCUCUUCAAUCAUGUCAACAGCUCAGCUCCUUCUCACUGUAUCUAAGUUGAAAGAUAUUACCAUUCACAGCUGGUCCUGAUGUCUGAGUCAACAGGCGUCUAAGAGUUCCCUGAAUUCUGCCGUGUUUCUCCCCACCCACUACUGCUGCUACUACACAGAUCUGGCGGUGGCAGCUCCACGGAAGGCACGGUGUAUAGGUGUCAUGGCAAACAAAGUCAAAGAACCCAUCUGGCUAUAGGCCAGAGAGAAUGUUCUCAAACCCAGGUUCUGUGGUUUUGUUCAUGGGUGGUUCGUUUCUUAGUUGGUUUUUAGAAAAUUUGGGUGGGGGGGCAGGAUUUAGAAUUACUCUAGGAAGCAAAUAAAUAUAGCUACCUAUAUUUGUUGUUGUUAGGUACCGUCGAGUCAGUUCUAACAUAUUUACUCCCUUCUUACUGACAGCCCAUGGGACCAGGAAAAGAGCAAGUUAAGAAGGGUUUAUGACAUCACUGUUACUAUUUAUACUUAACAUUAUUUAUUGAGGCAAGUUUGGUAAUAAUGAAGUUAUUUCAGCAGUACAUUAGAAAAAGAAUCACAAGGCUAGUGGGUUUUAAAUGGAAUAUUUACCCUGUACGUCUUUUUUUUUUUUUAUUACAUCCGUAACUGUGGAUAGCAAUGUCAUCUUUGAAUAUAGUAACCAAUUUUAAUGCCCGUUAAUAAUGGAAGGGAGUCCCUGGGUGGUGCAAAUGGUUAAUGAGCUAGGCUGCUAACUAAAAGUUAGGAGGUUCAAGUCUACCCAGAGACACCUCAUAAGAAAGGCCUGGAGAUCUACUUUGGAAAAAUCAGCUGUUGAAAACUCUAUGGAGCGCAGUUCUACUCUGACACACAUGGGCUCUCCAUGAGUCAGAACUGACUUGAUGGCAACUGUUUUUUUUUUUUUUGAAAAAUGGAAGUGGAAGGGAGGAGAAAUGGCCAGCAAGGAUACUGUAGAUCUGUUUACAUUUCAGUCUCGAAAGCUAAUGUUUAGUUGAGGGAUUGUUUACCCGGAAUGUUUUCCUUAGCCCCUUAAACUAUUGAGGAGUCCUUAUGGCCCAGUGGUUAAAAUGCUCGGCUGCUAACUGAAAGGUCGAUGGUUCGAAUCCACCAGUUGCUGUGCAGGAGAAACAUGUGACAGUCUGCUCCUGUAAAGAUUACAGCCUUGGAAACCCUAUGGGGCAGUUGUAUUCUGCCCUAUAGGGUUGGUAUAAGUCAGGAUCAACUUGAUGGCAGUGGGUUGGGUUUUUUUCUUAACCUAUUAACACUGAGUCUGAGUCCCUGGUGAAAUUUGUCCAGGUGGUACUUUGAUAUGGGUCUGGGUCUCCACGAUAUGGAGCACAUUUCUGACAGGCUUCUUUCUAUCCUCCUCUAUAGCUGUCAUUAGCUAGAGAAUACUGGCCUCUUAGCUGAGGACUCUGAUGAUUCAUAUCUGUGGGUGGGGCUGAAUAGACUGAUGUAGGAUGAAUAUUUCUUUCCACUUUAGACCACAGAGAAGACUUUUUUUUUUUUUAAUUUGUGGUUGGAAUACAUGCUGUUUUAGAUGACGGUUAACUAUUUCAAACAUGGCCCCAAUUCUUUCCCUCCUAUAUCCCUAGCCCCUUGCAAUGUGAUUUUGCAGCUCCUCCCAACAAGAGGUGGAAUCUAUUUCCCCACCCCUUGAAUCUGGGCUGGCCUUUUGACUUAAGUCAGCCACUAGAAUGCAACAGAAGUAACAGGUGUGCCAGUCCCAAACCUAAGCCUCAAGAGGCCCACGUGUUUCUGUUCUCCUUCUUGGAACCCUGCCACUGCUAAGUGAACAAGCCCAAGCUAACCUGCUGGAGGAUGAGAGACCAGAAGGAGCAGAGAUGAGCUGUCCCUGCUGCGGCUAUCCUAGACCAGCCAGCCCCAAGAGAAUGCCCUAGCUGACCACAAAUUCAUGAGGAAGCCUGGGCAAGAUCAGCUGGGCCCUGCUCAAUCAAUAGAAACCACUUAGUCAACUCACAGAUUCAUGAGAAAUAGUAAAUGGUAGCUAUUCUAAGCCAUUAUGUUUUGGGGUAGCUUGGUAUGAAGCAAUAGGUAACGAAUACAAGUGUCCAAUUUUCUUCCCUGCCCACUCCCCCACCCCUCAACCUGGCUGCUGGGAAGCUCAGAGUCAAAUUUGAAGGUCAAUCACAAAAUCUCUAUUCAUUCAUUUAUUCAUGAUGAUUACACAUAUUUGCGAUCUUCUCUCUCUUUGGUAGUGAAUUUUUUAAAAAAUGAAUAACCUAUUUGUGGCACAAUGGGUAAGCACUUGGUUGCCAACCAAAAGGUUGGCAGUUUGAACCCACCCAGCGGCUCCAUGAGAGAAAGAUCUGGUGAUCUGCUCCAUAAAGACUGUUGUUGUUGUUAGCUGCUGUCAAGUCAUUUCCAACUCAUAGUGACCUUAUGUAUAUCAGAACGAAACACUGCCUGUUCCUGAACCAUCCUCACAGUCGUCGUUAUGUCUGAGCCCAUUGUUGCAGCCAUAUGUCAGUCCAUCUCGUUGAGGGUCUUCCUCUUUUUCGAUGACCCUCUACUUUACCAAGCAUGAUGUCCUUCUCCAGAGACUGGUCCCUCCUGAUAACAUGUCCAAAGUAUGUGAGACUUAGUCUCACCGUCCUUGCUUCUAAGGAGCAUUCUGGCUGUACUUCUUCCAAGACAGAUUUGUUUAUUCUUCUGGCAGUCCGUGGGAUAUUCAAUAUUCUUUGCCAACACCAUAAUUCAAUGGCAUCAAUUCUUCUUCAGUCUUAUUCAUUGUCCAGCUUUCACAUGCACACGAGGCAACUGAAAACACUAAGGCUUGGGUCCGGUGCACCUUAGUCCUUAACGUAACAUCUUUGCUUUGUAACACUGUAAGGGUUACAGCCUAGGAAAUCCUAUGGGGUGGCUCUACUCUGUCACAUGGGGGUCGCUUUGAGUCGGAAUCGACUCAAUGGCACCUAACAACAACAUUGUUUGCCAAGUUGGUUGUAAGUCAAUUCAAUUCUUUGUUUUAAAUAUUUAGGUGGUUUUUAUUUAUUCAGGUUAGGAGAAAUGAAUCUAGAACAGGGGCUGGCAAACUUUUUCUCUGAAGGGCCAGCUAGUAAAUAUUUUAAGCUUCAAGAGCCAUACAGUCUCUGUCACAACGGCUCAACACUGCUAGUAUAGCACUAAAGCUGCCAUAGACAACAUGUAAAUAAAUGAGCAUGGCUGCAUUCCAAUAAAACUUAAUUGCAAAAACAGGCGGUGGGCAGGAUUUGGCCCUCAGGCCAGUUUGCUGACCCCUGAUCUAGAGCAAUAUACGUUACUAUGCAAAAACAUCUUCACCUACACAAUGAUCCCGUCAACUUUAUUGUAAUUCAUCUCAAUUACUUUGGGGGAAAAAAAAAAAAAACAGACACAUUUAGUAACUUUCCUCCCUCUGUCAGAAGUCAAGAAAGGUCUGACUGUAGAGCAACCCCUUAUAGAGAUGAUAGUGUGUUUGCACUGCGGCCAGUACUACACGGAACAGCUUAAAAUUCCCUGGUACCUCUUAGUCCCUGCCUGGUUCUUUAGUUAAUACUGAAGGCCAAGUGCCACAUGCAAUGUCUCAUUUAUUUUGUUUCAUUUCACAGCCUCCAAUCUCAAACACCUUCUACCGGAUCAGUGAAAAAGAGGGUUGGUAGAGGGUCAGUGAAAAAGAGGCAGACCACCGAUGAGAUGGAUUGAUACAGUGGCUGCAACGAUGGGCUCAAACACAACAAUUGUGAGGAUGGUGCAGGACCGGGCAUGUUUUGUUCUGCUGUACACAAGGUUGCUGAGUCAGAACUGACUCAACGGCACCUAACAACAACAACAAUCUCAAACAAUCUGAACCGCAUGCUGCACGUCACGGUGAAGAUGGAGCUCCAGUCGUACUUGGCUGCUUGGAGUUCCCUGAACGUAUUGUGCUAUUUCACGCCUCUGUGAUUCUGUACACAGUGUUCCUUCUGCCUGGGACACACUUAGCCUUCUUCUCUCACUGGCUAACGCCUACUCACUGAUCAAGACGAAGCUCAACGGUACUGCCUCUGGAAGACUUUCCUGAGUGCACUUCCAUCUCCUCACUCUAAACUUCCAGUCUGCACACUCAAUGCCAGCAUUUAUUCUAUUAAGUUAAUAGCUAAACUAGCUAAUGCGUGUGCAAUCCCUGGAUGGUACAAAUGGUUAAGUGCUCGACUACUAGUCAAAAGUUGGCAGUUUGAGCCCACCCAGAGGUGCCUCAGAAGACAGUCUGAGAAUCAGCUUCUGAAAAGUCACAGCCAUUGAAAACCCCGCAGUUCUACUCUGGGCACAUGGGGUUGCCAUGAUCGAAACUGACUUGACAGCAACUAACAACAACAAUGAUGUGGUAGGCACUGUUACAUAUAGUCAUUUAAUUGAAAUUAUUGAUGUACUUGUCUGUUUCCCCAAUUCAAUCAUUCAUGAAAACAUCUCCGUACUUCCCAACUUUAAGGCAAAAAAAGAGAACUAAAAGACAAACCUAUAUCAUGAACUGUAGGCCACCGAGGGCAUAUAUUAUGUCUUAUUUGUCUUUAGUUCACAUACCUACCAGUGUCUGGAACAGAGAUUUUAAAUUAAUAUCAUACGAAUGAAUGGAAAUAGCUAACACUUACUUAGUACAUAUGUGCUAGGCAGUGUUCUAAGUUCUUUACAUGUCUAAACUCAUUUAAUUCUUGUAACAACCUUAUGGGGUAACUGGUAUAAUGACCUGUCUUCCACCCAUGGGACAUCUAAGGCACAGAGAAUUUUUAAGGAACUUGCCCAAGGUCACACAGCUAGUAUGUGACAGAGCUGGGGUUUGAACUCAGGCAGUCAGUC